AGAUUAAGUUAUUAAGGGCGCACGGUGGAUGCCUUGGCACUAGAAGCCGACGAAGGACGUUACUAACGACGAUAUGCUUUGGGUAGCUGUAAGU
RNAcentral lists this ribosomal RNA (94 nucleotides) under Staphylococcus devriesei. RNAcentral's name for it is "partial 23S ribosomal RNA". It matches the Rfam family "Bacterial large subunit ribosomal RNA", at positions 1 to 93 of the family's 2925-position model. Lineage: Bacteria; Bacillati; Bacillota; Bacilli; Caryophanales; Staphylococcaceae. The record is from RNAcentral.